RNAcentral lists this unclassified non-coding RNA (317 nucleotides) under fungal sp. RNAcentral's name for it is "partial internal transcribed spacer region". Lineage: Eukaryota; Fungi. The record is from RNAcentral.
ACAAAGUUUCCGUAGGUGAACCUGCGGAAGGAUCAUUAACACGUAUCCAACGUUAAACCCCUGUGAAGUCCUGCUCCGGAAACUUUUCAAACAGCACUCCCAGUAAAUCAUGGUCGAACAGUUUUGAUUUGGGACCUCUGUUGAAGAGCGUACGUAUUGAGACGGUUGAGAUAGGCAUGGCUUCCCGAAUCAAUCAUCAAAUGAAAGUGUUGAUGCUUGUGAAAGGAUAACGCUUCUCGGUCGCUGGAGGCCCGCGGCCGGCGGACAUGCAAGCCCCUUAAUAACCCCCAACUGUAACAAUGGAUAUCUUGGUUCUC